Molecule: ribosomal RNA, 847 nt
Filed under: uncultured Bacteroidota bacterium
Lineage: Bacteria; Pseudomonadati; Bacteroidota
Description: bacterial SSU rRNA
Rfam family: Bacterial small subunit ribosomal RNA
Source: RNAcentral
GCAAGUCGAACGGUAACAUGGAUUGCUUGCAAUCUGAUGACGAGUGGCGCACGGGUGCGUAACGCGUAUGCAAUCUACCUUUUACAGGAGAAUAGCCCAGAGAAAUUUGGAAUAAUGCUCCAUAAUAUCAUUUAUCAGCAUUGGUUUAUGAUUAAAGCUCCGGCGGUAAAAGAUGAGCAUGCGUUCUAUUAGCUAGUAGGUGAGGUAACGGCUCACCUAGGCUACGAUAGAUAGGGGCCCUGAGAGGGGGAUCCCCCACACUGGUACUGAGACACGGACCAGACUCCUACGGGAGGCAGCAGUGAGGAAUAUUGGACAAUGGAGGAAACUCUGAUCCAGCCAUGCCGCGUGCAGGAUGACUGCCCUAUGGGUUGUAAACUGCUUUUAUAUAGGAAGAAACACUCCCACGUGUGGGGGCUUGACGGUACUAUAUGAAUAAGGAUCGGCUAACUCCGUGCCAGCAGCCGCGGUAAUACGGAGGAUCCAAGCGUUAUCCGGAAUCAUUGGGUUUAAAGGGUCCGCAGGCGGCCUGUUAAGUCAGAGGUGAAAUCCUACAGCUCAACUGUAGAACUGCCUUUGAUACUGAUAGGCUUGAGUUAUUGUGAAGUGGUUAGAAUGUGUGGUGUAGCGGUGAAAUGCUUAGAUAUCACACAGAAUACCCAUUGCGAAGGCAGAUCACUAACAGUAUACUGACGCUCAUGGACGAAAGCGUGGGGAGCGAACAGGAUUAGAUACCCUGGUAGUCCACGCCGCAAACGAUGGAUACUAACUGUUCGACCUUCGGGUUGAGUGGUCAAGCGAAAGUGAUAAGUAUCCCACCUGGGGAGUACGCUCGCAAGAGUGAAAC